UCAUAGAGACGACGCACCCUCUCCAGAUCACCUGUGACGCUAAAAUCUGGAGGUCGAAGUCCUCAGCGAUUUCGCUGCAGGGUCAAGACUAGAGGAAGUAUACAUAUGUAUCACGAGUUAUCUAUUUUAUUUAUCAAUUGCGUGACUAGCGCGGUCAACGUCACGUGAUUUCCCAUAAACGCGUGCAAGUUUUUCCCGAGGGGGCCAGCUGGGGGCGCACUGUUGUGUCAUUAGCUCUGACGUAUAAGAAGAACAAGUGACCUAAAAGAAUGUCGUCGUGACGAGCUGAAUAGGCCGUCUACAUGAAAUCCACACACAAUCUUCGUAACAACAGCACAAUCAACACAACAUAACACUAAUGCAUUCAUAUCAUCACACAUAUUAAUAUCUUGCAUCAGUGAUCACUGUCAGUAAUGAGCAGGGCUUCAACAUUAACAUCGAAAGAGCGCUUCAAUCACAUUUGAGCGCCAUUGACUAGUUCUGGCUCGUUUGACUUGUACUGGUUUUACUGGCGAUGAUGGAGCUUGCUCGCUCCGUCGCUCCUACAGAUGACACCGUCGUCACUGCUCUUCCGCCACACGGCAAGUUUCUAGCCCUUCAAAGACGACCGAUUCUGGGAGAAGGACGCAGAUGAGCUGACCCUCCAGAUCAGCUGGACUAAGACUUGGCAGCUGAUUCCGAUUGGACUCAUCACCAGCCACGUGGAAACUCGUUUGCGACCGUGUGGUGAGACGUGUGUGCAGCUCCCAAAAGCCAGCCGGUCCGGGGAGUCCAGGAAGGCCCACGUCACCUUUGCUUCCCUGCCGCCACAAAUUGCAAAAAGUCAACCACCUCAACACUAGUGCCGCUGUUAACAUGGCUAACAGGACAUGAAGGACCCCCCCCCCCCCCACCACCACCAACCCCCCACCCUCCCUGCCGUGCAUGGGGAAUACUUGAAGAAGGAAAGCCUUCAUUAGUUUACUGCUUGCGGGCAUUUGUCAGAACACAGAGUUCUUUCUUUCUUUUUUCUUUUGCAGCCCAAAAUCCAAGAUGUGUUUCGCAUUGCUAAAAACAUUUAACCACAAAAUUUUCUUACAUCUUUUUCAAAAUAAUAAUGAAAACAUUUAAUUUGAAAUUCUCAUUUCGUUACUAUUUUCUGUCUUCAGAAACAUUUUUUGAUCUAAAAAAAGUAUGACUUCUUUUUUGAUUACUUAUUUUUCGUUUUUUUUUUUUUUUACUUUUUAGUGAGCAACUUCUCAAAAACCACAAUUUGACUCAUUUUUUUCUUUUAAAAAAUCUGAUUUGCUAUUUUCACAUUUUACAAAGUAUGACUUUCCUGGAACAAGACAACUUUGAUGUUGAGCGAUUAAAAAUAUCUGAAAUAAAUGGGAUUAUUUUCAUGA
Long non-coding RNA from Syngnathoides biaculeatus (alligator pipefish), 1385 nucleotides. RefSeq lists it as uncharacterized. NCBI's taxonomy places the organism in Eukaryota, Metazoa, Chordata, Actinopteri, Syngnathiformes, Syngnathidae. The record is from RefSeq and is a predicted model, not a curated record. The transcript is spliced from 4 exons.